GUCAUGGUAGUAUAAUGGCCAGUACACGUCGUUGUGGCUUCUUUGAACCUCAUCGAUUCGACGCUCCGUCGAGAUCCGGGUUCGAUUCCCGGCCGUGACA
This is a non-coding RNA of Tilletiopsis washingtonensis, 100 nucleotides long. NCBI's taxonomy places the organism in Eukaryota, Fungi, Basidiomycota, Exobasidiomycetes, Entylomatales. The record is from the annotation of a RefSeq genome assembly.